GAAAUGCGGUAAGUAGUGUGAAUUGCAGAAUUCAGUGAAUCAUCGAAUCUUUGAACGCACAUUGCGCCCCUUGGUAUUCCAUGGGGCAUGCCUGUUCGAGCGUCAUUUGUACCCUCAAGCUCUGCUUGGUGUUGGGUGUUUGUCCCGUCUCCGCGCGUGGACUCGCCCCAAAGUGAUUGGCAGCCGGCGUACUGGUCCCGGAGCGCAGCACAUGUCGCGCAAACGAGUGCCUUGGUACGGCGGCGUCCAUAAGCCCCUCUCUCACGCUCUUGACCUCGGAUCAGGUAGGGAUACCCGCUGAACUUAAGC
This 309-nucleotide unclassified non-coding RNA is filed under the name plant metagenome. RNAcentral's name for it is "partial contains 5.8S ribosomal RNA, internal transcribed spacer 2, and large subunit ribosomal RNA". The stretch from base 1 to 105 matches the Rfam family "5.8S ribosomal RNA", at positions 50 to 154 of the family's 154-position model. The record is from RNAcentral.